UACUUGGUUGAUCCUGCCAAGGAAGCACACUUAGGUCAUAGAUUAAGCCAUGCAAGUGUUAGUUCAGGUAACGAAACUGCGAAUAGCUCAUUAAUACGCUCAGAAUCUAUUUGGCGGCGACCAACAGGUCUUAAAUGGAUAGCAGCAGCAACUCUGGUGCUAAUACAUGCGAUUGUUUCUCCAGAUGUGAAUUAUGGAGGAAAAGUUGACCUCAUCAGAGGCACGCCAUUCGACUGAGUGACCUAUCAGCUUGUACUUAGGGUCUUUACCUAGGUAGGCUAUCACGGGUAACGGGCGGUUACCGUCGGACUGCCGGAGAAGGCGCCUGAGAGAUAGCGACUAUAUCCACGGGUAGCAGCAGGCGCGAAACUUUCCCACUCGAGACUUUCGGAGGAGGUAAUGACCAGUUCCAUUGGUGCCUUUUGGUACUGUGGAUAGGGGUACGGUUUUCCACCGUACCGAAACCUAGCAGAGGGCCAGUCUGGUGCCAGCAGCUGCGGUAAUUCCAGCUCUGCGAGUUUGCUCCCAUAUUGUUGCAGUUAAAACGCCCGUAGUCUGAAUUGGCCAGCAAUGGUCGUACGUAUUUUUACGUUCACUGUGAACAAAUCAGGACGCUUAGAGUAUGGCCACAUGAAUGACUCAGCGCAGUAUGAAGUCUUUGUUUUCUUCCGAAAACAAGCUCAAUGAGAGCCAUCGGGGGUAGAUCUAUCUCAUGACGAGUGGUGGAAUACUUUGA
This 736-nucleotide non-coding RNA is filed under the name Trichomonas vaginalis G3. RNAcentral's name for it is "Eukaryotic small subunit ribosomal RNA". It matches the Rfam family "Eukaryotic small subunit ribosomal RNA", at positions 1 to 924 of the family's 1831-position model. Lineage: Eukaryota; Parabasalia; Trichomonadida; Trichomonadidae. The record is from Rfam by way of RNAcentral.